Molecule: long non-coding RNA, 3375 nt
Organism: Alexandromys fortis (reed vole)
Lineage: Eukaryota; Metazoa; Chordata; Mammalia; Rodentia; Cricetidae
Exons: 4
Source: RefSeq, a predicted model, not a curated record
CCCUGUGGCACGGUGCUUUUGCCUCACUGGUCUCUGCCUAGAGCUCUAAAAGUCAUAAUCUUAACUCAGUUGUUGGUGCUGUAUGUGUGGUCUGGCAUCCAGAAAUUGGGUCAAAAGCUGCACAGAUACUUAGAAAAUGACAGAGGGGACCUUGGAGACCUGCCAGACUGCUGUCCUCACUAGGCAAUGUUCUUGUGUGGGAUAGAGACCUUUCAGGUGAGGAGAAGCAAGAUAGCAAAAAGGCUAUAUAUGUGUGCCCCCCAUAAACAGAAGCAGAACCCUGGGGUUUGAAGAAAAUCUAGAAGGAUCUCAUAUCACCAACUUUAAAAAAACUAUAUAUGUGUAUAUAUACACAUAUACACAAAUGUAUGUGUGUUUAUGUAAUUUGUGUGUGUCCAUGCUAUAGUGUAUAUGGAAGUCAGAGGAGUGGGUUCUAGGUUCUACCACAUGGGUCCCAGUGAUUAAACUCAGUGCAGGUGCCUUUACCUGCCGAGCCACCUCAGCACCCCCUCACUAACUUCUGACACUGAGGAGUGCCAAGCCCCUUCUUCCAGACCGUGGCUAUGGACAGAGCAUCCUGGGCAAGUGGUAAGCUGCUCCUUGAGCUCUCCAGACCUGCCACCAGCCACAGCAGAGAAAGAACAUGCUCUGGGGUAUGCAUUCUUUUUAGCUUGACAUUUUACUUUCGGUGGUGACGCAAAGCCAUGGUUUCCUGGAACCGUUGCUACUGUGACCAUUCUCUAGCUUUGGAGCAAUUAGGUGUCUUGGCACUGCUUCCCAGCAUUCCACCUCCCAGCGUCCAAGUGCUUUCUGCCCAGGAAUAAAAAGAGUGCACACACCCCUUAGAGGGAACGAAGAGCUAGCACUGCACACUGUCACCAGUCACUGCUGGAAGGGAGAGGAGCCUCCACGAGGCCUUGACCCACAGGGAGAACACAGUAUAAACGCAGCACGCACCCUGCACUCUGGUUGGAAGCUAAACAGAAACCUGCCAGCAUUGGCAGGACAUGUGCGGGACUAGGAAAUGGAGAACAAUUUGAAGAAGCAGCCCCCUGUGUCAGAGGUGAAGGCAAUGCAGGACUCGGGUGGAGUGGUCAAGCACAGAACAGGUACAGGUGUGGUUUCUGGGCUCAUACUUUGCUUUUGGGUGCUGUGUUCAAACGAGGAAGGGGAGGGUGGUGAAGGUGGCAUCAAAGUAACAGAGCUGGCACGUACUGCCACCUCACCUCUAUUCUCCUGUUAGAGGGGAGAAUAAUUGCGCCCUGAGAAACAAUGAAAGAUCUGGGCACAGACAGUAAGGAUGCUGUUCAAGUUUAUCUGUGAUAGAAUAUCAUUUUCCAAAUGUGUUCUUCGAAAUUAUAAAAAUAGUAUUUUCCCCUCAGUAUAUUUAACUAUCCCCUCCCAUCAAAAUUAACAAAGUUUUUUGCUAAUUUUCCUUUAUGGGUAACUGUGCCUGUGUUUGCAGGUAGAAGGCAAGGCCACACCCUUUCCCCAAACCUGAGGCCACAUCCCCAGGUCACAGGGACCCUCUCCGAGACAGCCUCCAGCACCUGGGCCAGGUGAGUAGGCCAUAUAGUCUGGGUGUCCUCUAGCCCUAGCCACUGCUGAGCUCCCAAGAAUCUAUAGGAGCUGCCUCUGGAGGGAGAGAAACUUCAUACAACAUUUGACACAGCCUGGGUGGGAGCCAUGCCUUCUGACUUCUGGUUCUGUUUGCAUUUAUUUACUUGGGAAAUGGAAUGUGUGCAGAUGAGGCUUAGAAAGAGAGGGACCAGCAUGGCGCCUGUGUCUUCUACUUAAUUGGAAUGUGUAAUAUCCCAAAGAACGCACACCCCUGGCUGUGCCUAGGAAAACCAAAAACUGCCAAGUGUGAAAUGAGGGGAACAGACCCUGCAGGGAGAGGCUCCACGGCAUGAACACACACGUACACACACUGACAUACGUACAGCAUAGAGGAGCAGAAAUGCCCUGCUGUGCACAGCUGUUUCCUAAUAUAGAGAAUUUACAAAAUAUAGAAUUUGGUAUAGAUCUCCAAGGUUUCAAUAAUACAAAAUAAAGAAUACAAAAAGACAAGUUGGGGUUCCCACCUCCCUACCCCAGUGGUAUCCUCAUUUGCUUGUGUGUCUCUUACACGCAUACAACUAGCAUAGUCUAAAGAAGGGCACAGAAAACUUGUUUUGUUUUAUUUAAUAAAUAUUUUCUUUUGCUCAGAGCCACCGCUCCUUGCUUGGUGUCCUCUUGCCUCCCCCUCAUCAACAAUCCUGUUUCCCUUACAGGGCACUGUCUGUGCGUGGAGGUGCGGACAGAGGAUGGCACAGGCCACACCUCUCCAACUCCUGCAUUCCUGCCCACAAAACACCUUCAGGGACAUGGCUUCUCCACAGUGGAAAAGCAGACCCUAGAGAUCCCUGGAUGCCGCCAGGUCAGCUUCGAGCCUGCCUACCUACCUAUCAUGGCCAAGGCCUCUCCUCAGGCCAGCCACCAUGUGCCAUGCUGCGCCACCAACGAAGGCUCCAGUGGCAACCCCGCCAUGCAGCAGCAGCACCUGUCAGAAAACUCAAGGCUCAACUCAAGUCUAGCGGAAUCUUCUGCCAAGGGAAACAUCUUUGGUCAGCUUGGUGCUCGCAGGACACUGGCACCCUGGGUCUUGGCCAAAGGCCAUGCCCACCAGCAAAGGCAGAAGUUGCUUCUGAGUCAAAGUGGAAAUUUUACCAGCACAGUUGUGAGGCUGGAGCACAGGCCCCAUCUGCUCACGGUGCAAAAGAAGCUGUCCCAUUCCUCUGGAGGCCAGGCUGCUGGCACCUCGAGCUGGCAUCUGCUAACUGAGGGGAGGCCCUCCAUUGAGGAAGUAGGUCAUCAUCUCACCCUUGCCCUUGACCUUGACCACACCCCGGCACUCCAGCUGCCCUGACAGCCACAUCACCCUGGGAUCAGAAGAGAAACUCUGAGCUGUGUGUGGCCUGCAGUGAAAAGCUCCUGGUGACCGAGGCCCUUCAUGUGCAUGCUGUGAGUGGUGGCUGUGCUUGGACUCACCUGGAUGCGGUCAGGCUUCUGGAAACUUCACAGACACUUUCACCUAACGAAUCACUUGAACAUCCUAGGGCAGCAGCCCUUGGAGCACUGCAUAUUCAUCCUUCCAGACUGCACUCUGUUCCUGACCUGAUGGAACUGCACAGAUGACGUGCUCUGCAAGGAUUUAAGGAAUACAUUAAGCAAUGGCUUGUUUUCCUGCCUGCCUUCUUCCUUUGCCCAGGUCCCUCCUGCUCCCAAAACCCUUCCCAGAUUCUGGGUCAUCUCUGCCUUGGGGCCACUUGAGGCUCAAGUUCAAAGAGAAGGGCAGAAACCCCAGCUCCCACAUAUCCACACAGUGACCUUAGG